Molecule: long non-coding RNA, 628 nt
Organism: Solanum pennellii
Lineage: Eukaryota; Viridiplantae; Streptophyta; Magnoliopsida; Solanales; Solanaceae
Exons: 4
Source: RefSeq, a predicted model, not a curated record
UAGAAGGGAGAGUUUGGAAAGGACGAACAUGGCUAUAAAAGUUGUACCGUGCAAUUCCAUGAAGCACACAAAUAAGGACAUCUUGUAAUUUCAAGGCAUAAAUUGCUUUUUCUUUCAUGAAGCCACGUGUUGUUACUUGGUGCAGCUUUCUUCCCAAUAUUUAACUCAUUCCCACCUUCUCCAAUUCAUUCCAACCUAUUCUUUAUGAAGUUGUCGAAUGAAGUCCUUGAAAUGGAAAGAGCAAAUAUAGUUCAGGACUAAAGGCAUAUAUGAGAGCAUGUCAAUUUAUCUUAUCUUGGUGGUUUUGGUUCUAUUGCUCAAGAUGUGGGCCACUUUGUAGUCAAUUAUCGUCUUGCACAAAACACGUAAGGUUCUUCCUAAUUACUUGCUAAGCUUCUACCAACUCUUCUGCAAAUAUUUCAACGAAAGAUAAUGUACUUUCAAGUCAAACAGUUAUAGAAGCCGUGGCUACAGUAUGCACCAUUGGUUGCGUUUGUGUUUCAUCAUUCUCAUCCUCCUCAUCUUCUAUUUUCCAGAGGAAAUUAGCAUAAGCAACAUGUAUGUGACUGUUAACACAUCAAACAAUAUAAAACAGUAAGUUUUGUAAAGUAGAUAACAUGUUCAUGAA